This 320-nucleotide ribosomal RNA is filed under the name uncultured eukaryote. RNAcentral describes it as "partial 18S ribosomal RNA". It matches the Rfam family "Eukaryotic small subunit ribosomal RNA", at positions 1470 to 1796 of the family's 1831-position model. The record is from RNAcentral.
CCCCUAGAUGUUCUGGGCCGCACGCGCACUACACUGAACAGUUCAACAAGUCUUAACCUUGGCCGAUAGGUCUGGGUAAUCUUUGAACGCUGUUCGUGAUUGGGAUAGACCUUUGCAAUUAUGGGUCUUCAACGAGGAAUUCCUAGUAAACGCAAGUCAUCAGCUUGCAUUGAUUACGUCCCUGCCCUUUGUACACACCGCCCGUCGCACCUACCGAUUGAAUGGUCCGGUGAAAUCUCGGGACGGCGGCUUGGUCGCUUGCGUCCGACUGCUGAAACUUGAUUAAACCAUAUCAUUUAGAGGAAGGUGAAGUCGUANCA